AUUGAACGCUGGCGGCAGGCCUAACACAUGCAAGUCGAACGGUAACAGGAAGAAGCUUGCUUCUUUGCUGACGAGUGGCGGACGGGUGAGUAAUGUCUGGGAAACUGCCUGAUGGAGGGGGAUAACUACUGGAAACGGUAGCUAAUACCGCAUAACGUCGCAAGACCAAAGAGGGGGACCUUCGGGCCUCUUGCCAUCGGAUGUGCCCAGAUGGGAUUAGCUAGUAGGUGGGGUAACGGCUCACCUAGGCGACGAUCCCUAGCUGGUCUGAGAGGAUGACCAGCCACACUGGAACUGGGACACGGUCCAGACUCCUACGGGAGGCAGCAGUGGGGAAUAUUGCACAAAGGGCGCAAGCCUGAUGCAGCCAUGCCGCGUGUAUGAAGAAGGCCUUCGGGUUGUAAAGUACUUUCAGCGGGGAGGAAGGGAGUAAAGUUAAUACCUUUGCUCAUUGACGUUACCCGCAGAAGAAGCACCGGCUAACUCCGUG
This 490-nucleotide ribosomal RNA is filed under the name uncultured bacterium. RNAcentral's name for it is "partial 16S ribosomal RNA". It matches the Rfam family "Bacterial small subunit ribosomal RNA", at positions 30 to 507 of the family's 1533-position model. The record is from RNAcentral.